AUACGUAGGGGGCAAGCGUUAUCCGGAUUUACUGGGUGUAAAGGGAGCGUAGACGGUGUGACAAGUCUGAUGUGAAAACCCGGGGCUCAACUCCGGGAUUGCAUUGGAAACUGCCAUACUUGAGUGCAGGAGAGGUAAGCGGAAUUCCUAGUGUAGCGGUGAAAUGCGUAGAUAUUAGGAGGAACACCGGCGGCGAAGGCGGCUUACUUGACUGUAACUGACGUUGAGGCUCGAAAGCGUGGGUAGCAAACAGGAUUAGAUACCCUGGUAGUCCACGCGGUAAACGAUGAAUACUAGGUGUUGGGGGUCUUUAGACCCUCUGUGCCGCAGCAAACGCAAUAAGUAUUCCACCUGGGGAGUACGUUCGCAAGAAUGAAACUCAAAGGAAUUGACGGGG
This 397-nucleotide ribosomal RNA is filed under the name uncultured bacterium. RNAcentral describes it as "partial 16S ribosomal RNA". It matches the Rfam family "Bacterial small subunit ribosomal RNA", at positions 523 to 918 of the family's 1533-position model. The record is from RNAcentral.